UGGGGAAUAUUGCACAAUGGGCGCAAGCCUGAUGCAGCCAUGCCGCGUGUAUGAAGAAGGCCUUCGGGUUGUAAAGUACUUUCAGCGGGGAGGUAGGGAGUAAAGUUAAUACCUUUGCUCAUUGACGUUACCCGCAGAAGAAGCACCGGCUAACUCCGUGCCAGCAGCCGCGGUAAUACGGAGGGUGCAAGCGUUAAUCGGAAUUACUGGGCGUAAAGCGCACGCAGGCGGUUUGUUAAGUCAGAUGUGAAAUCCCCGGGCUCAACCUGGGAACUGCAUCUGAUACUGGCAAGCUUGAGUCUCGUAGAGGGGGGUAGAAUUCCAGGUGUAGCGGUGAAAUGCGUAGAGAUCUGGAGGAAUACCGGUGGCGAAGGCGGCCCCCUGGACGAAGACUGACGCUCAGGUGCGAAAGCGUGGGGAGCAAACAGG
This 429-nucleotide ribosomal RNA is filed under the name Chloroflexota bacterium. Its description in RNAcentral is "Chloroflexi bacterium partial 16S ribosomal RNA". It matches the Rfam family "Bacterial small subunit ribosomal RNA", at positions 355 to 776 of the family's 1533-position model. Lineage: Bacteria; Bacillati; Chloroflexota. The record is from RNAcentral. RNAcentral also lists the same sequence under 1 other name.